This 629-nucleotide non-coding RNA is filed under the name Aspergillus fischeri NRRL 181. RNAcentral's name for it is "Neosartorya fischeri NRRL 181 Bacterial large subunit ribosomal RNA". It matches the Rfam family "Bacterial large subunit ribosomal RNA", at positions 1 to 890 of the family's 2925-position model. Lineage: Eukaryota; Fungi; Ascomycota; Eurotiomycetes; Eurotiales; Aspergillaceae. The record is from Rfam by way of RNAcentral.
GGCAAGUAUAUAAAGAAAUUAUUAUGGAUAAUUAGCUAUAUAUUAAAGAAUAUCUAGUCAAUCUAGUUUCUAAGAGAAAUCAGAUAAUAAACGAAGUGAAUUGAAAUAUCUUAGUAACUUUAGGAAAAGAAAUCAAACGAGAUUGUUAUUUGGUGUCAACUAAAUAACAAAAGCCUAAUAACAAAACUUGUUAAAAGUAAAAUGGAUUAAAAUCUGUUUGAAUAUAGGGGAACCUUCCUCUAAGGCUAAAAAUGAUAUAUAAGCGAUAGUGAAAAGUACCGUGAGGUAAAAUUUGAAAUAGUAAUUUUAUAAGCAGCUCGAGUGAAAUUUAAAUAAAUAAUAAGAGCGUACCUUUUGCAUAAUGGGUCAGCAAGUUAAUUUUAGAUGCAAGCAAUGAUUUUAUGCGCUUUUCGCAUAAAACUAGCUUAGAUAAACCAAUUAUGAAAAAAUGAAUAAGUAUCUAGAAUUAGACCCGAAGGCUAGUGAUCUUACCAUGGUCAGGGUUAUAAAAGCCCGAACGGGUUAUCGUUGUAUAGAUAUCCGAAGAAUUGUGGUAAGUUAGUGAAAGACAAAACUGACUAGUAUAGCUGGUUUUCCGCGAAACCUAUAUGAGUAGGUAAUUUAAUUAA